RNAcentral lists this non-coding RNA (212 nucleotides) under Desulfosporosinus meridiei. RNAcentral describes it as "T-box sequence". It matches the Rfam family "T-box leader". From Rfam's summary of the family: Uncharged tRNA acts as the effector for transcription antitermination of genes in the T-box leader family. T-boxes are found upstream of many aminoacyl-tRNA synthetase genes and some amino acid biosynthetic genes usually in Gram-positive bacteria. The record is from RNAcentral. Lineage: Bacteria; Bacillati; Bacillota; Clostridia; Eubacteriales; Desulfitobacteriaceae.
UUUAUGACGAUGAUGAGAAAGAGUACAAAGAGGAAUUGCGACUAGCGAGAAUGGGGUAGUGGAAGCCAUUUGCAAGGAGUAUUUGGAAGUGCGUCUCGGAGUUGAUUGGAAGAAAUUUGAAAGUAUUUCAAUCCGUAUUACUGCGUUAAAGUUUUGAGCUGGAACGACAUGUCGUUCAAACAGAGUGGGACCGCGGAAUUUUCGUCUCUGGA